This 850-nucleotide long non-coding RNA is filed under the name Hordeum vulgare. Its description in RNAcentral is "long non-coding RNA (HVUL_LNC019463)". The record is from RNAcentral. Lineage: Eukaryota; Viridiplantae; Streptophyta; Magnoliopsida; Poales; Poaceae.
UUAGCUCUCAGAUAACUGAGACUAAACGAAAUCUUAAUCAAAUGGCACAAAAAAAUUGCAUGAAUCUUCACGCAAAAUGUUAUAAAUAUAGAAUUAAGUCUUAGUGGACUGAGAUUUAGCAACACUAAUAUGUAAUGUCUUCCACAAAUCCAACUUAUCUUUCCUUACAAGUACGUAUGUAGAGAGACAAAUGGAUCGAGUGGUUUGUCAAGAUAUAUGCAUACAAGUAUUUUCCUUUGUUGCGCGAAUUCAUAUAUUAUGUACACAAGUCAUCUAUACAUGUGCAUGCACAGCAUGGGUGGCUAGCCUGCCAAGUACGAUGCAGAAGCUGGUGACCACAUCCAUCGACCGGCGACGCAGCCGUCGAGGAUGGCGCGGCCGAUGCCAGCGUCGGCGUCCCCGUCGCCAUCCCCGCCGCUGAUAUCCCUACCAGAGGCUUCAUGCAGAGCGCGGAACUCGCUGGCGCGCAUCCGCACGGCGACCCGCUGGCCGGGCGCCGGCAGCGUCGUCGGCGCAAUCCAUGGGUACGGGUGCACCACCGCGCUCCUCGGCCUCGCCGCCAUGUCAUCCUUGGAUGCGCAGCUCCCCAUGUACGUACUAAUUAGCGUGCACUUCUUCACGGAGUCGAUCGAGCGGGCGAGUGGUGUAUGCACACACUUGUACCAGACGCACUCGCAUAUAUACGCGUGUUCUCGAUCGAGAUGAUGAAAGACUUGACGCCGGCCUCCAUUGCAUGUGCAGAAGCAACCGAAAGCGCAUGAACCCGUGGAGUUGGACAAGCGUCAAGAGAAUGGCUACGCUACGCGUGGCGUGGUCGAUCGAACGUACGUGUGGAGACGGCAAGAAACAC